Small nuclear RNA from Hibiscus syriacus, 162 nucleotides. RefSeq annotates it as U1 spliceosomal RNA. The record is from RefSeq and is a predicted model, not a curated record. The transcript has a single exon. Lineage: Eukaryota; Viridiplantae; Streptophyta; Magnoliopsida; Malvales; Malvaceae.
AUACUUACCUGGACGGGAUCAAUGGGUGAUCAAGAAGGCUCAUGGCCUGGAGUAGUGACAUCCAUUGCACUGGGGAGCUGUGCUGCUCUAAGGUCUCCCUAAUUGGGAUAAGAUUGAAUAUGAUUUUGAGUUAUUUGGCAUUGAAGUUCAUAUAGAUUUGAU